Molecule: ribosomal RNA, 273 nt
Filed under: uncultured bacterium
Lineage: Bacteria
Description: partial 16S ribosomal RNA
Rfam family: Bacterial small subunit ribosomal RNA
Source: RNAcentral
GUUUGAUGGCGACCGGCGCACGGGUGAGUAACACGUAUCCAACCUGCCUCAUACUCGGGGGAUAGCCUUUCGAAAGAAAGAUUAAUAUCCGAUAGCAUAUAUUUCCCGCAUGGGUUUUAUAUUAAAGAAAUUCGGUAUGAGAUGGGGAUGCGUUCCAUUAGUUUGUUGGGGGGGUAACGGCCCACCAAGACUACGAUGGAUAGGGGGUUCUGAGAGGAAGGUCCCCCACAUUGGAACUGAGACACGGUCCAAACUCCUACGGGAGGCAGCAUG